UACGUAGGGUGCGAGCGUUGUCCGGAAUUACUGGGCGUAAAGAGCUCGUAGGUGGUUUGUCGCGUCGUCUGUGAAAUUCCGGGGCUUAACUCCGGGCGUGCAGGCGAUACGGGCAUAACUUGAGUACUGUAGGGGAGACUGGAAUUCCUGGUGUAGCGGUGAAAUGCGCAGAUAUCAGGAGGAACACCGGUGGCGAAGGCGGGUCUCUGGGCAGUAACUGACGCUGAGGAGCGAAAGCAUGGGGAGCGAACA
Molecule: ribosomal RNA, 252 nt
Filed under: uncultured Corynebacterium sp.
Lineage: Bacteria; Bacillati; Actinomycetota; Actinomycetes; Mycobacteriales; Corynebacteriaceae
Description: partial 16S ribosomal RNA
Rfam family: Bacterial small subunit ribosomal RNA
Source: RNAcentral